Molecule: long non-coding RNA, 395 nt
Filed under: Fragaria vesca (wild strawberry)
Lineage: Eukaryota; Viridiplantae; Streptophyta; Magnoliopsida; Rosales; Rosaceae
Description: long non-coding RNA (FVES_LNC001454)
Source: RNAcentral
CCUUAUCCAAGCUCUCUCGAAAAGACCUGGCGGACCUCCCAUGGUUCGCAUUACUGGAAUUGAGUUUCCCCAAUCAGGUUUUCGACCUUCAGAAAGGCUUGAAGAGACAGGGCGCCGCCUACAGAAUUACUGCAAGAGAUUCAAUGUCCCAUUUCAGUACACUGCCAUAGCAAAGAAUUGGGAAACCAUUCAAUAUGAGGAUAUCAAAAUCGACAGAGAUGAGAUGACUGUAGUGAACUGCAUGGACAGGUUAAAGAACUUACCAGAUGAUGCAGUCUUGGACAGCCCCAGAGAUACAGUUUUGAAGCUGAUCAGGAGAAUCAACCCGGAUGUAUUCAUACAUGGAAUUGUUAAUGGAACCUACAAUGCACCUUUCUUCGACACACGGUUCCGGG